This 331-nucleotide unclassified non-coding RNA is filed under the name soil metagenome. RNAcentral describes it as "partial contains 5.8S ribosomal RNA, internal transcribed spacer 2, and large subunit ribosomal RNA". The stretch from base 1 to 120 matches the Rfam family "5.8S ribosomal RNA", at positions 35 to 154 of the family's 154-position model. The record is from RNAcentral.
GAUGAAGAACGUAGCGAAAUGCGAUACGUAAUGUGAAUUGCAGAUUUCAGUGGAUCAUCGAAUCUUUGAACGCACAUUGCGCCCGCCAGUAUUCUGGCGGGCAUGCCUGUUCGAGCGUCAUUUCAACCAUCAAGCGCCUCGCUUGUGUUGGGGCCCUGCGGCUGCCGCAGGCCCCUAAAUCCAGUGGCGGGCUCGUCGUCGUACCGAGUGCAGUAAACAUCCUCGCUCAGGGAACCCGACGGGUGCCGGCCGUGAAACCCCCCCUCCUCAAGGUUGACCUCGGAUCAGGUAGGAAUACCCGCUGAACUUAAGCAUAUCAAUAAGCGGAGGA